CCUACGGGUGGCAGCAGUGAGGAAUAUUGGUCAAUGGCCGGAAGGCUGAACCAGCCAAGUCGCGUGAGGGAAUAAGGCCCUAUGGGUCGUAAACCUCUUUUGUCAGGGCGCAAAGGCGUCCACGUGUGGACGAGAGGAGAGUACCUGAAGAAAAAGCAUCGGCUAACUCAGUGCCACCAGCCGCGGUAAUACGGAGGAUGCGAGCGUUAAUCGGAAUUACUGGGCGUAAAGCGCUCGUAGGCGGUAUGUCAAGUCAAGGGGGAAAUCCCCGCGCUCAACGUGGGAACUGCCUUUGAAACUGGCAAACUGGAGUGUGUGAGAGGAUAGUGGAAUUCCAGGUGUAGGAGUGAAAUCCGUAGAUAUCUGGAGGAACAUCAGUGGCGAAGGCGGCUUACUGGACUGUAACUGACGUUGAGGCUCGAAAGCGUGGGGAGCAAACAGGAUUAGAUACCCUUGUAGUC
RNAcentral lists this ribosomal RNA (461 nucleotides) under uncultured bacterium. Its description in RNAcentral is "partial 16S ribosomal RNA". It matches the Rfam family "Bacterial small subunit ribosomal RNA", at positions 338 to 795 of the family's 1533-position model. The record is from RNAcentral.